Dalotia coriaria is the source of this 1163-nucleotide long non-coding RNA. RefSeq lists it as uncharacterized. The transcript is spliced from 2 exons. The record is from RefSeq and is a predicted model, not a curated record. Lineage: Eukaryota; Metazoa; Arthropoda; Insecta; Coleoptera; Staphylinidae.
CUUAUCUAUAUCCGAACAAAUCGAAAAAGAAAAAUUCUUGUACAAUGAACGAUAUUUACGCAAAAGUACCCGAAAUGGUUGGACUACUACCCAACAAUAGACUAUUUAAAAAUUAUCCAAAAAUUUACAAGUGCAUAUCUAUAUUGCACAGUUUUUGGAACUUUACUAUAAUAUUACUACCAGCAUAUAAUGAUAUUUAUAACAUUAUUAACGAAGAAUUUUCUCAUAAAGAAAUGCUACUCAGGUUUAUGCUAGUGGUGAGGUUGAUGGUGUACGCAUCUCUUUCAUUUUCCUCAGUGUUUUACAAAAAUGUAUUGUAUCCGGAAAGUUAUGUGGAAUUACAUUAUCACUUUGGUGUAAUUAGUGAUAUAUUAAAAAGGCGUAAAAUUGUUUUAAAGCAAAAUCAAAGUAAAAUCAUAUAUGCUAUAGUUCACACCAUUUUGUUAGUAUAUAUGAUAUACUCAGUAUACAUAUACGAUAGUCUUUAUCCUACUGCAUUUAUGAUAAUUAUCAAUUGGCCGCAUUUUAAUUAUUUGUCGGAAGGCAUAGUUGCCUGGAACAUGUUGGAAAAUGUGCGCGAAUAUUUUAUCAUUUUAAACAAUGCUAUAAUUAAUUUACAAUCUUGUGAAAUGAUGAAAAACCAGCUGAAAAUUAACGAUUUGAUUGAAAUUCACGAGAAUUUGUUAAAGAUUUUAAAGUCAUAUAACAAAAUCUUUGGUAUCAGCGUGGUUUUUAGGAAUCUUAUAUUUGUAGUCGAAGUAUUGUUUACAUCUUUGAAACUAGUAACCAUUCCAGGAGCGGGAAUUUAUUUAGAUCUGUUUGAUUGUUUGGUUGAUAUGUCAAUGUGGUGUUUCCUAAUUUUUAAAUCUCAACAUGUGAUUGACGUUGGAAUGAAAACAAUUUCGUGUUGUUUUAGUACAACAUUGGUUUGGUUACAAAACAAGAAUCAAAAUGAUAAAGACAAUGCAUUUCUAGAUCACUUGAACGAAAGAGUACGUUUACAAGCGCCUCACUUCACUGCUGCAAAGUUUUAUACAGUUGAUCUCGCAACAUUUUUUGUAAUAAUUAACAUGAUGGCAAGUUAUAUUGUCGUAGUAGUGCAAUUUGCUACCGAUACAUAAUUAUAUGCAAUAAAACAUCAAAUAAAUUAUUAUCGAGGAAAA